AAAUUGAAGAGUUUGAUCAUGGCUCAGAUUGAACGCUGGCGGCAGGCCUAACACAUGCAAGUCGAACGGUAGCACAGAGAGCUUGCUCUCGGGUGACGAGUGGCGGACGGGUGAGUAAUGUCUGGGAAACUGCCUGAUGGAGGGGGAUAACUACUGGAAACGGUGGCUAAUACCGCAUAACGUCGCAAGACCAAAGAGGGGGACCUUCGGGCCUCUUGCCAUCAGAUGUGCCCAGAUGGGAUUAGCUUGUUGGUGAGGUAACGGCUCACCAAGGCGACGAUCCCUAGCUGGUCUGAGAGGAUGACCAGCCACACUGGAACUGAGACACGGUCCAGACUCCUACGGGAGGCAGCAGUGGGGAAUAUUGCACAAUGGGCGCAAGCCUGAUGCAGCCAUGCCGCGUGUAUGAAGAAGGCCUUCGGGUUGUAAAGUACUUUCAGCGGGGAGGAAGGUGUUGUG
Molecule: ribosomal RNA, 459 nt
Filed under: Salmonella enterica subsp. enterica serovar Infantis
Lineage: Bacteria; Pseudomonadati; Pseudomonadota; Gammaproteobacteria; Enterobacterales; Enterobacteriaceae
Also listed under: 6 other names
Description: bacterial SSU rRNA
Rfam family: Bacterial small subunit ribosomal RNA
Source: RNAcentral